Molecule: ribosomal RNA, 460 nt
Filed under: uncultured bacterium
Lineage: Bacteria
Description: partial 16S ribosomal RNA
Rfam family: Bacterial small subunit ribosomal RNA
Source: RNAcentral
CCUACGGGGUGCAGCAGUGAGGAAUAUUGGUCAAUGGACGAGAGUCUGAACCAGCCAAGUAGCGUGAAGGAUGACUGCCCUAUGGGUUGUAAACUUCUUUUAUAUGGGAAUAAAACGUUCCACGUGUGGGAUUUUGUAUGUACCAUAUGAAUAAGGAUCGGCUAACUCCGUGCCAGCAGCCGCGGUAAUACGGAGGAUCCGAGCGUUAUCCGGAUUUAUUGGGUUUAAAGGGAGCGUAGGUGGAUUGUUAAGUCAGUUGUGAAAGUUCGCGGCUCAACCGUAAAAUUGCAGUUGAAACUGGCAGUCUUGAGUACAGUAGAGGUGGGCGGAAUUCGUGGUGUAGCGGUGAAAUGCUUAGAUAUCACGAAGAACUCCGAUUGCGAAGGCAGUUCACUGGACUGCAACUGACACUGAGGCUCGAAAGUGUGGGUAUCAAACAGGAUUAGAUACCCUAGUAGUC